This 506-nucleotide ribosomal RNA is filed under the name uncultured bacterium. RNAcentral describes it as "bacterial SSU rRNA". It matches the Rfam family "Bacterial small subunit ribosomal RNA", at positions 396 to 916 of the family's 1533-position model. The record is from RNAcentral.
GCCGCGUGCGGGAUGACGCUUUUCGGAGUGUAAACCGCUGUUCGUGGGGACGAAGCACUGACGGUACCCACGGAGGAAGGCCCGGCUAACUACGUGCCAGCAGCCGCGGUAAUACGUAGGGGUCGAGCGUUGUCCGGAGUUACUGGGCGUAAAGCGCGUGCAGGUGGCUCAUUACGCCCGGCGUGAAAGCCCCCGGCUUAACCGGGGAGGGUCGUCGGGGACGGGUGAGCUUGAGGGUCGCAGGGGCUGGUGGAAUUCCCGGUGUAGUGGUGAAAUGCGUAGAGAUCGGGAGGAACACCCGUGGCGAAGGCGGCCAGCUGGGCGAGCCCUGACACUGAGACGCGAAGGCGUGGGGAGCGAACGGGAUUAGAUACCCCGGUAGUCCACGCAGUAAACGAUGCCGACUAGGCGUGGGGGGACUUGACCCCUUCCGUGCCGAAGCUAACGCAUGAAGUCGGCCGCCUGGGGAGUACGGCCGCAAGGCUAAAACUCAAAGGAAUUGACGG